CAGCCGCCACGGUAAUACGGAGGGUGCAAGCGUUAAUCGGAAUUACUGGGCGUAAAGCGCACGCAGGCGGUCUGACAAGUCAGAUGUGAAAUCCCCGGGCUCAACCUGGGAACUGCAUCCGAAACUGGCAGGCUAGAGUCUUGUAGAGGGGGGUAGAAUUCCAGGUGUAUCGGUGAAAUGCGUAGAGAUCUGGAGGAAUACCGGUGGCGAAGGCGGCCCCCUGGACAAAGACUGACGCUAAGGUGCGAAAGCGUGGGGAGCAAACAGGAUUAGAUACCCGGGUAGUCCCUGUCUCUUAUAA
RNAcentral lists this ribosomal RNA (301 nucleotides) under uncultured bacterium. RNAcentral's name for it is "partial 16S ribosomal RNA". It matches the Rfam family "Bacterial small subunit ribosomal RNA", at positions 509 to 809 of the family's 1533-position model. The record is from RNAcentral.